Aegilops tauschii subsp. strangulata is the source of this 1265-nucleotide RNA transcript. It is a transcript of the gene named proteasome subunit beta type-3-like, with no coding region annotated. The record is from RefSeq and is a predicted model, not a curated record. Lineage: Eukaryota; Viridiplantae; Streptophyta; Magnoliopsida; Poales; Poaceae.
UCCGCCCCGCGCCUCCCCCGCGCCCAGCUUCUCCCGCCUCGCCGCCGCCUCCUCUCCUCCCACCCACAUCGACGCCGCCGUCACCCACCGACUCGAACCGCGCCGUCGGCGGCCAGAUCCGCCGCAACAGAGCCCCCCCCCCCCCCAACAACGACGAGCAGCAGAGGAGGGAGGACGAGGAGCACGACGGUGGGGAGCAGCAUCAGCAGGCUAAGGCGGCGUAGGAACAGUCCUUGGGCGAUGCCGACGAGCGGAGGGAGGACGAGGAGCAUGACAGCGGCGGCUACGGGGAGCGGUGUACGUCGGUGCCAAGGCUGUGCUGGAGCGGCUCGACGCGCCGGCUACGUGCGCCAAGGAGACGGCUGCUACCAGGGUUAGGGUUUCGGUUGUUGGCUCCAACACCGGUGGCAAUAUCUGGUGAUUUCAUCCUCUCCCCUCCUUCAUCCUCAUCUCUCUCUCUCUCUAACCACUCCUCCUCCCAUCGUCUUGGCUUGCAUGUUGCCGUCGUCGUGGAGCUGGAAAACAUCAUGGUGUCCCCAAAUUUUUAGACUGCUGCUCCUGUGUUCGUGGCGUCCCGGAGAAGCAAGGAGUGUUUCUGCUACUCCCUGCACUGGUGCUGCUGUGUGAAUGAGAGGAGAAGAGGUCACCUGCCUCUCCGUCUUAUUCUUCUACUACGUCCUAGGGAACUGGCAAAAGAUUCAUGUGGUUUUCAAUACUACUUUGGAAUCAUUAUGUACAAACCAGACAUGGAACCUGAAGAACUAUUUGAGACAAUCUCACAAGCACUGUUGUCUUUUGUUAAUCGUGAUUGCCUGAGUGGUUGGGGAGGUUAUGUUCUUAUUGUUGUAGCAAAUGGGUGAGUGCCGGUGGCAGCGCGUUGCGAACAUGUCAAUGGCGGCUGUUGAAGCUUGACUUCAGCUACAAGUACAGGUGGUCGUUGGCACGGACAUGUCGUCCCUGAGCUUUAGUUCCAGGCGAGAUUCAGUUUCUUCAUGGACGAAGAAUUUAUGGUUGAUGACAUCACUCUGGGAGCAAUUAUCAUGCACACGACCAGCGAGUGGUGGCAGAAGCAACUUCUCUCUUGGCCUACAUGACAAGCGCUUUUUUAUCUUAGCUCUAUGGCUGGCUUUGGCCCCAAUAACUUCCAAAUGAUGUGUCAUACCACUAGCUACUAUACCGGAGUUGAGGCCACCGUCGACGUGGUGCUCGCCGACUACCAAGUCCACCACCCACCGACGCGGAAGGACACCGUGAACCCGUAGGUA